Vicugna pacos (alpaca) is the source of this 1179-nucleotide non-coding RNA. Lineage: Eukaryota; Metazoa; Chordata; Mammalia; Artiodactyla; Camelidae. The record is from RefSeq and is a predicted model, not a curated record.
CUCGGUCCUUCCCGGCUGCCUGCAAGUCAGCCUGGCUCCGAGUCACGUGUCAGUGCCUGAGGCAGAGACUGAGAAAAAAACGCGCUUCAUUCCUUCUUCCACCGCCAUACUGUAUUUUAUACUAAAUCUCAUUUUUAUUCCAACAUUUUACUCCCGCUCGUGGAAGGUUUCUCUGGAAAAAAAAAAAUGAAGUGCGGUUUGGUUUCCUUGUCAACGGAGGAUGAAGUGAACAGCUGAGCAGCUCGCAGAGAGCAGGAUUAAAGCAAGGAGAGCCAACCAUGACUGGCAAAACACAGACCAGCAAUGUCACCAAUAAGAAUGACCCCAAGUCCAUCAACUCUCGCGUUUUCAUUGGCAAUCUAAAUACAGCCAUUGUCAAGAAGGUUGACAUUGAAGCCAUUUUCUCAAAGUAUGGAAAAAUAGUUGGAUGCUCAGUUCACAAAGGUUAUGCAUUUGUACAGUACAUGAGUGAACGGCACGCGAGAGCUGCCGUGGCUGGAGAAAAUGCCAGGAUCAUCGCAGGUCAGCCGCUCGGUAAGUCCUGCUCGGUUACGGGUUUCACUUUAAUGUUCUACUCUCUGCACAUAUCUGGAUAUGGCUUACUGUUAAAAGCCAGCAUUACCAUGACAUUUAUCUCUUAAUCAAUUAGAGUGCCUAUGCAUUUAUCAUUUAUAUUAUUUUCUUGUUCUCUUAUUGCUUUAUUACAAGUGUCUUAUUUUCUCCACAAAUUUAUAAGCAUGAGAUCAAAUCUGCUUUGCAAUACUUGUUACUUCCACCAAUCCUAACAGGUCCAGGCAAAUAAAAAAUAUGCAUCAUAUUUAACUUUAUUUGACUUAAAAUGAUGUCUUAUCUUCCAGGAAACACUAUGCUGAGAAAACAAAAACAAACAAACAAAAAAAAUACUUUACUUUUUAUACGUUUAGCAUUUGCUCUGAGAGGCUAAUGUAUUUUUGUCAUCUCUUGUUUUUAUUUUUUCGGGAGAAGGGACAGAAAAUAGCAAACGGAAGUAAAUCUUGGGGACUGGAAAAGGACUAUAAUCCAUUCUUUCUUACCUAAGCAGGGAUCUUGUUGUGUCUGCUCAGUCAUGUGCAAUAAUCAGAUUUAUGUUUAAUGUACAAGGAAGAAUAUGGUUUAUUUUUUUCAAAGAAAAGAGAGGAAUAUAGUCUGAAAUAAAAUGAA